This 497-nucleotide ribosomal RNA is filed under the name uncultured bacterium. RNAcentral's name for it is "partial 16S ribosomal RNA". It matches the Rfam family "Bacterial small subunit ribosomal RNA", at positions 28 to 507 of the family's 1533-position model. The record is from RNAcentral.
GAUGAACGCUGGCGGCGUGCCUAAUACAUGCAAGUCGAGCGAACAGAUGAGGAGCUUGCUCCUCUGACGUUAGCGGCGGACGGGUGAGUAACACGUGGAUAACCUACCUAUAAGACUGGGAUAACUUCGGGAAACCGGAGCUAAUACCGGAUAAUAUAUUGAACCGCAUGGUUCAAUAGUGAAAGACGGUUUUGCUGUCACUUAUAGAUGGAUCCGCGCCGCAUUAGCUAGUUGGUAAGGUAACGGCUUACCAAGGCAACGAUGCGUAGCCGACCUGAGAGGGUGAUCGGCAACACUGGAACUGGGCCACGGUCCAGACUCCUACGGGAGGCAGCAGUGGGGAAUCUUCGGCAAUGGGCGAAAGCUUGACGGAGCAACGCCGCGUGAGUGAUGAGGGUCUUCGGAUCGUAAAACUCUGUUAUUAGGGAAGAACAAAUGUGUAAGUAACUAUGCACGUCUUGACGGUACCUAAUCAGAAAGCCACGGCUAACUACGUG